AAUAAAGAAGCGACAAGCUGAGACAUGCUAUCAUUAAGUAAUCAUAAUUUCCUCCCUAUUUUACGACAAUAGAUGUCACUCUCUCAUCUGGAAGGCAGGCCACGUAUACAAACACCAUGUCAAAACCCUUUUCAGACAAAGACGCAGGGGGGUGUGGUGAGUUAUCUGGGUGCAGAAUAGAAUAUUUUGAUGGGUUGCAACCACCCCAUUUCCCACCCCCCAACUCCUACAUGCACUGAUAAAAGUCAGAUCUGUAAAGAACUUCAAAGACUCCCCCGUCUGACAAACAGUAAUAAAACAAGAAACUGAAAAAAAAAAAAAAAAAAGAAUCUGCAAAAGUGCAUGGAGGAAGCAGAGCUGACAAGCGGUGUGAUGGUUCUGUUUUAGCAAUCAGCAGACUAACUGCAGGGCACUUCCUCCUAGCGGGAAGCCGAGCCUGGGCUGCCAACUGUGAAGGAGUACAGAAAGGUCAGGAUUCUGCAGGCCUGGAAUAAGCGAUUGUACAUUAUUUCUGCCUAUUUUUCAUCCAGGUCCCAUCCGCCCCAAGCCCACAGCCUGCUGUAACCCAGCUGCAGCCUCCACUGCUCCCUCCCCUCCUCCUUCCAAAGGGAAAGAUAUGAAAAGGCAAAUCAGUGAGUUGGAUCUCACCUUUCCCUUCUUCCUCCAUUUUAAUGGAGGGUUGGGGGCUGGGGGCAGGGUUGGGGGAGCACACAAGAAGGAAAUCACUCUGGAAUCCAGAACAUCUGGCUUCCAUUCAGACGCAGUCACCAACCUUGGGAGCAUAUUGAAAGCAUUUGGCUGUCUCAACAGUCUAAAAGGAGCUAUUUAUUUCAGACUCAACAACCAGCCUGAACAUGUGCUUCCAUUUGGAAACAAUCGGAGAAACUUCCGUCCAUGUGAUUCCUAUGGCUCGUACGUUCUGAACAUCAUCGAGAGGAGGCCAUUAUACUGAUGUGUCACUUGAUGUAUCUGCUAAAAUACAAAACAUGGGCUUGGUUAAAGGCCUGGUGAGAACUGCCUCCACCUCUACACUAUGGUUUCUCCGUUCCUUGCAUGUGUUCAAGCCUAGGUAAAGGUAGUUCCAGAAGCUCCUUUACUUGGGCAAUUGGUGGAACCCAGUGGAGUCCCACAAGCUUGGCGUGAUUUCCAGACCAUUACUGAGUCACCCAGCCUCACUGCUCUAAGACUCAGAAACUCUAAGCCCAAAGAAUAAGGACUAUUUUAGAAUGUAUGGAACACACUUACUAAUGUGCUCUUGUCUGAUCCCUGCAAUCCCCGUGAGAGUGUGUCUAACACUCUGGACGAGGAAAUCGAGCGUCGCCUAAGUCGCUGAGCCCAGGGGCCCCGACUGGAAAUCCUCUGCUUCAUACCAUAGCUCCCACUCAGUCAGCAGGAGAGAAUCCCAGAAUCGGAAAGGGACAGGGGAAGACAACAUUAAGUCCUAGGGACCCUGGGGGAGCCCAAGAAAGACAAAUAUUCAGUGACGGCCUUAGAUAGCCUCAGAGAAACCCUUCCCAACUGGGGAUUUGCCCAGGUGAAAUCAUUCUGCACUCCCAUCCCAACUGAAUCUUCUGUGUAAAAUAGAAAACCUCACCCUGAACGCUGGGGAGGAGGAAGGUGGCCCGGGGAGGAAACGCCUGGUCUCCAGUGUUCCACAUGCUCCCCCAGCCUCUCUGCAUCUCUGGCUUUGCCUUCUGACUUGGAUCUCUCUCUCUCUCUCUCUUUUUUUUUUUUUACAGGCAGAGUGGACAGUGAGAGAGAGAGAGACAGAGAGAAAGGUCUUCCUUUGCCGUUGGUUCACCUUCCAAUGGCCGCCGUGGCCGGCACGCUGUGGCCAGUGCACCGUGCUGAUCCGAUGGCAGGAGCCAGGUACCUAUCCUGGUCUCCCAUGGGGUGCAGGGCCCAAGCACUUGGGCCAUCUUCCACUGCACUCCCUGGCCACAGCAGAGAGC
This is a long non-coding RNA of Oryctolagus cuniculus (rabbit), 1952 nucleotides long. The record is from Ensembl. Lineage: Eukaryota; Metazoa; Chordata; Mammalia; Lagomorpha; Leporidae.